Molecule: ribosomal RNA, 850 nt
Filed under: Alternaria alternata
Lineage: Eukaryota; Fungi; Ascomycota; Dothideomycetes; Pleosporales; Pleosporaceae
Description: partial large subunit ribosomal RNA
Rfam family: Eukaryotic large subunit ribosomal RNA
Source: RNAcentral
ACAGGGAUUGCCCUAGUAACGGCGAGUGAAGCGGCAACAGCUCAAAUUUGAAAUCUGGCUCUUUUAGAGUCCGAGUUGUAAUUUGCAGAGGGCGCUUUGGCUUUGGCAGCGGUCCAAGUUCCUUGGAACAGGACGUCACAGAGGGUGAGAAUCCCGUACGUGGUCGCUGGCUAUUGCCGUGUAAAGCCCCUUCGACGAGUCGAGUUGUUUGGGAAUGCAGCUCUAAAUGGGAGGUACAUUUCUUCUAAAGCUAAAUAUUGGCCAGAGACCGAUAGCGCACAAGUAGAGUGAUCGAAAGAUGAAAAGCACUUUGGAAAGAGAGUCAAACAGCACGUGAAAUUGUUGAAAGGGAAGCGCUUGCAGCCAGACUUGCUUACAGUUGCUCAUCCGGGUUUCUACCCGGUGCACUCUUCUGUAGGCAGGCCAGCAUCAGUUUGGGCGGUAGGAUAAAGGUCUCUGUCACGUACCUCCUUUCGGGGAGGCCUUAUAGGGGAGACGACAUACUACCAGCCUGGACUGAGGUCCGCGCAUCUGCUAGGAUGCUGGCGUAAUGGCUGUAAGCGGCCCGUCUUGAAACACGGACCAAGGAGUCUAACAUCUAUGCGAGUGUUUGGGUGUCAAGCCCGAGCGCGUAAUGAAAGUGAACGGAGGUGGGAACCCGCAAGGGUGCACCAUCGACCGAUCCUGAUGUCUUCGGAAGGAUUUGAGUAAGAGCAUGGCUGUUGGGACCCGAAAGAUGGUGAACUAUGCUUGAAUAGGGUGAAGCCAGAGGAAACUCUGGUGGAGGCUCGCAGCGGUUCUGACGUGCAAAUCGAUCGUCAAAUUUGGGCAUAGGGGGCGAAAGACUAAU